RNAcentral lists this long non-coding RNA (173 nucleotides) under Junco hyemalis (dark-eyed junco). RNAcentral's name for it is "lncRNA (ENSJHYG00000008591.1)". The record is from RNAcentral. Lineage: Eukaryota; Metazoa; Chordata; Aves; Passeriformes; Passerellidae.
CCACCUCGCCCUUCCCAGUGAAAGUGAGCAGAGGGAGGGCUGCACGUAGUGAUGAGAUAAUGACAGCCAAAAAUCCCUGACAGAGAUCAGCCUGUGCUGGGAAGAAUGACUGAGGAUGCUCUUUUGGUCACCCUGUGUAUACAAUGAGAAAAAGACCUGUAACAUCAGCUACA